This 460-nucleotide ribosomal RNA is filed under the name uncultured bacterium. Its description in RNAcentral is "partial 16S ribosomal RNA". It matches the Rfam family "Bacterial small subunit ribosomal RNA", at positions 338 to 795 of the family's 1533-position model. The record is from RNAcentral.
CCUACGGGAGGCAGCAGUGAGGAAUAUUGGUCAAUGGGCGUAAGGCUGAACCAGCCAAGUAGCGUGAGGGAAGACUGCCCUAUGGGUUGUAAACCUCUUUUAUGCGGGGAUAAAGGUGUCCACGUGUGGAUGUUUGUAUGUACUUUAUGAAUAAGGAUCGGCUAACUCCGUGCCAGCAGCCGCGGUAAUACGGAGGAUCCGAGCGUUAUCCGGAUUUAUUGGGUUUAAAGGGAGCGUAGAUGGGUUGUUAAGUCAGUUGUGAAAGUUUGUGGCUCAACCGUAAAAUUGCAAUUGAUACUGGCAGUCUUGAGUACAGUUGAGGUAGGCGGAAUUCGUGGUGUAGCGGUGAAAUGCUUAGAUAUCACGAAGAACUCCGAUUGCGAAGGCAGCUUACUAAACUGCCACUGACAUUGAUGCUCGAAAGUGUGGGUAUCAAACAGGAUUAGAUACCCGUGUAGUC